AUUGAACGCUGGCGGCAGGCUUAACACAUGCAAGUCGAACGGUAACAGAGAAUAGCUUGCUAUUUUGCUGACAAGUGGCGGACGGGUGAGUAAUGCUUGGGAAUUUACCUUGUUGUGGGGGACAACAGUUGGAAACGACUGCUAAUACCGCAUAAUGUCUUAGGACCAAAGGUGGCCUCUAUUUAUAUGCUAUCGCGACAAGAUGAGCCCAAGUGGGAUUAGCUAGUUGGUAAGGUAAAGGCUUACCAAGGCGACGAUCCCUAGCUGGUCUUAGAGGAUGACCAGCCACACUGGAACUGAGACACGGUCCAGACUCCUACGGGAGGCAGCAGUGGGGAAUAUUGGACAAUGGGCGGAAGCCUGAUCCAGCCAUCCCGCGUGUAGGAAUAAGGCCCUAUGGGUUGUAAACUACUUUAUUAGGAGAAAACUUUGAUUUAUCAGAGCUUGACGGUACCUAAGGAAUAAGCACCGGCUAACUCCGUGCCAGCAGCCGCGGU
Molecule: ribosomal RNA, 497 nt
Filed under: uncultured bacterium
Lineage: Bacteria
Description: bacterial SSU rRNA
Rfam family: Bacterial small subunit ribosomal RNA
Source: RNAcentral